Amphiprion ocellaris (clown anemonefish) is the source of this 556-nucleotide long non-coding RNA. The record is from Ensembl. Lineage: Eukaryota; Metazoa; Chordata; Actinopteri; Pomacentridae.
CAGAUGUUUAGCUGUGGUUUGUUCAGGUUCCAGUGGAGGUGCCAUGUUCAUACAGAUGUUUAGCUGUGCCGCUUUCAUACAGAUGUUUAGGUGUGAUGUGUUCAAGUUCACGUGGAGGUGCCAUGUUCAUACAGAUGUUUAGCUGUGGUGUGUUCAGGUUCAUGCGGAGGUGCCGUGUUCAUACAGAUGAUCAGCUGUGGUGUGUUCAGGUUCACGUGGAGGUGCCGUGUUCAUACAGAUGUUUAGCUGUGGUGUGUUCAGGUUCACGCGGAGGUGCCGUGUUCAUACAGAUGUUUAGCUGUGGUGUGUUCAGGUUCACGCGGAGGUGCCGUGUUCAUACAGAUGUUUAGCUGUGGUGUGUUCAGGUUCACGUGGAGGUGCCGUGUUCAUACAGAUUUUUAGCUGUGGUGUGUUCAUACAGAUGUUUAGCUGUGGUGUGUUCAGGUUCAUACAGAUGUUUAGCUGUGUUGUGUUCAUACAGAUGUUUAGCUGUGGUGUGAUCAUCCAGAUGUUUAGCUGUGGUGUGUUCAGGUUCAUACAGAUGUUUAGCUGCUCU